This 200-nucleotide ribosomal RNA is filed under the name uncultured bacterium. RNAcentral describes it as "partial 16S ribosomal RNA". It matches the Rfam family "Bacterial small subunit ribosomal RNA", at positions 30 to 241 of the family's 1533-position model. The record is from RNAcentral.
AUUGAACGCUGGCGGCAGGCCUAACACAUGCAAGUCGAGUGGGGUUUUCGGACCUAGCGGCGGACGGGUGAGUAAUGCGUAGGAAGCUGCCCGAUAGAGGGGGGAUACCAGUUGGAAACGACUGUUAAUACCGCAUAAUGUCUACGGACCAAAGUGUGGGACCUUCGGGCCACAUGCUAUCGGAUGCGCCUACGUGGGAU